This 468-nucleotide ribosomal RNA is filed under the name uncultured bacterium. Its description in RNAcentral is "partial 16S ribosomal RNA". It matches the Rfam family "Bacterial small subunit ribosomal RNA", at positions 28 to 507 of the family's 1533-position model. The record is from RNAcentral.
GACGAACGCUGGCGGCGUGCUUAACACAUGCAAGUCGAACGGAAAGGCCCUGCUUUUGUGGGGUGCUCGAGUGGCGAACGGGUGAGUAACACGUGAGUAACCUGCCCUUGACUUUGGGAUAACUUCAGGAAACUGGGGCUAAUACCGGAUAGGAGCUCCUGCUGCAUGGUGGGGGUUGGAAAGUUUCGGCGGUUGGGGAUGGACUCGCGGCUUAUCAGCUUGUUGGUGGGGUAGUGGCUUACCAAGGCUUUGACGGGUAGCCGGCCUGAGAGGGUGACCGGCCACGUGGGGACUGAGACAGGCCCGAGCCCCCUACGGGGGGCAACGGGGGGGAAUUUGGCAAAGUGGGCGGAGGCCGUAUGCAGAAGCCCCGGGGGGGGGAUGGCGGCUUUCGGUGUAAAACCCGCUUCCGCCUGGGACGAAGCGGGAGUGACGGUAGUGGAUAAAGAAGCACCGGCUAACUCCGUG